Molecule: ribosomal RNA, 253 nt
Filed under: uncultured bacterium
Lineage: Bacteria
Description: partial 16S ribosomal RNA
Rfam family: Bacterial small subunit ribosomal RNA
Source: RNAcentral
UACGUAGGGGGCAAGCGUUAUCCGGAUUUACUGGGUGUAUAGGGAGCGUAGACGGUAUGGCAAGUCUGAUGUGAAAACCCGGGGCUCAACCCCGGGACUGCAUUGGAAACUGUCGGACUAGAGUGUCGGAGAGGCAAGUGGAAUUCCUAGUGUAGCGGUGAAAUGCGUAGAUAUUAGGAGGAACACCAGUGGCGAAGGCGGCUUGCUGGACGAUGACUGACGUUGAGGCUCGAAAGCGUGGGGAGCAAACAGG